Molecule: long non-coding RNA, 1254 nt
Filed under: Callithrix jacchus (white-tufted-ear marmoset)
Lineage: Eukaryota; Metazoa; Chordata; Mammalia; Primates; Cebidae
Description: lncRNA (ENSCJAG00000085389.1)
Source: RNAcentral
AUGGUGAGCUUUGAAUUAAUCAGAGCUGAAUUAAUCUCUUUCCCAUCACCUGCUGGCGUUGUGCCCCAGGCAGCAGCUUCAUCUCUCAGAGCCUUAGUUUCCUCAUCUCAAAAGAGGAACGCAAAUACCUGUCUUAGUGCUGUGAGAAUCAAAUACAGGGAAGCAUCGCACCCGGCGCCUGGGAUGCAGGAAACAACUGUAAGAGUUUUCAUCAGUGGUAUUUCAGGUCGGUGUGGCCGCAUGGCUGCUAGGGAGACUGCCCCAUGUCAUGGUGGAGACCAUCCUCCUGGAAGGGUGAGCUUCAUGAGAGCAAUGUGGCUUCAGAGGCUGGCAAGAGAUAGAAUUCACACAAACCACAGGAAGAAUGAAGAGUCCGGAGCAGGAGAACGUGGAGCAGGAAGGAGCAGGACCAAAGGCUGGCGCUUAGUGUGUAAAGCUAGAAUGCAGCUGGGACGGAGGCUCCUGGGAGCACAGAAGCCGCUUCAACUCAAAACACCUGAGGAAAUACAUAUCAAGCAGCUGCUAAAUAUGCUGUUCUCUGCUGGUUGCUGCCAAAACACUGACCAGAGUGGCUCCUGUGUGUGUGGUACCUCCCCUGCCCAGGCCUGGCGCUGGCCGCUGAACACACGACUUUAUCUCAGCCCCAUGACAAUGCUGGACGUGCAAGAUGCUGUGAUUCCCGUCACACCAAGGAAAUGGGCACAGACUGGGGAGUGCCUUGCCCAGGGCCACCAGCAGGAAGAGGAGGAGCUGGGGUGUCACACCCAGGCAGCUAGUUCCAAAGUUCCUGCUCUUAAUGACUGCACUGUGGUGUCUCAGACCACAGCAGGUGAGAGCCAAGCCGCACAACCCCCACCACAGGGGUCAACAGCAACGGGGGGAAAGAGACUGCAGCAGCACUGUGGCUCAUCAGUGGGGUCACAGGAACCAAAGCAGUGGUGUUCCUGGGAACCUGGGAACUGUUCCUGGGAACUGUGGCUGGAAAGGGAUGUGGGACCUGGGGCCAUAGAAACCUCCAUCGUGCCGGCUCCCGAGGCCCCCAGAGUGAUGGGGAACGUUCUCUCAGACCUCCUGGCCACACUGUGUGCGUGUGUCCAUGCUCUAAGCUGGCCUGUGACAUCAGUAACACCCCCUCUGACCACCACUAGACAGGCCUGUACCCCGCUGCACUGUCCCGGAGCCAUGCUCCCAGGCUCUGCUGCACAGCCUCAGCCUGCAGCUCCUGCUGGGUCUGCCAUUGAGGACGGGAGCUGA